ACCCCAUAGACUAUGGAUGCUGGAAUGCUUCGUAUUUCAAAGGUCCGCCGCCUUAGGAUGGGUCUGCGGCCGAUUAGGUUGUUGUUGGGGUAACGGCCCAACAAGCCUGUAAUCGGUACGGGUUGUGGGAGCAAGAGCCCGGAGAUGGAUUCUGAUACACCAAUCCAGGCCCUACGGGGCGCAGCAUGCGCGAAAACUUUACAAUGCGAUAAAUCGUGAUAAGGGAACUCUGAGUGCCCGUAAAAUCGGGCUGUCCAUCUGUUUAAAUAACAGGUGAAGAAAGGGCCGGGCAAGACCGGUGCCAGCCGCCGCGGUAAUACCGGCGGCUCGAGUGGUGGCCACUAUUACUGGGCUUAAAGCGUCCGUAGCUGGUCUGUUAAGUCUCUGGGGAAAUCUUCCGGCUCAACCGGAAGGCGUCUCAAGGAUACUGGCAGA
This 435-nucleotide ribosomal RNA is filed under the name uncultured archaeon. Its description in RNAcentral is "bacterial SSU rRNA". It matches the Rfam family "Archaeal small subunit ribosomal RNA", at positions 151 to 591 of the family's 1478-position model. The record is from RNAcentral.